Non-coding RNA from Triticum aestivum (bread wheat), 135 nucleotides. The record is from Rfam. Lineage: Eukaryota; Viridiplantae; Streptophyta; Magnoliopsida; Poales; Poaceae.
UAAAUGCUCCCUCUGUCCAAAAAUACUUGUCACCAAAAUGGAUAAAAAGAGAUGUAUCUAAAACUAAAAUACGUCUAGAUACAUUUCCUUUUAUCCAUUUUGAUGACAAGUAUUUUCGGAUGGAGGGAGUAUUUG